This 2521-nucleotide long non-coding RNA is filed under the name Medicago truncatula (barrel medic). Its description in RNAcentral is "long non-coding RNA (MTRU_LNC002773)". Lineage: Eukaryota; Viridiplantae; Streptophyta; Magnoliopsida; Fabales; Fabaceae. The record is from RNAcentral.
GCAAUCAAUUCCCACCGUGUUCCCAAAAGCUACAAAUAUCAGCUUUGGUUGGAAUUGCUUUUACAUGCCGGACUCAAUUUUAAAAAUAGUUACCCAAACACCAAUUUUUUUAACAAACUCACUUCUAAGAUUUCUAAACUCACGUUUACGGCUCCCCACCACGUAACCAAACGAGUGCUUAGCUUUUUCAAAUCGAUUCUCUACUGUGGAAAUACACUAGCAUCUAUUUGUCUCUUUUGCCCUUGAAUCUCAACACUUCCUUUCACAUACCUUUUCAAAUCUGACAAAGCCCUUCACGGUGUCUGCAUGCUUUGUCAUGUUGUUGUAAAAAAAUAUGUUUGUACUGUUGCUGUGGUUUUUUCUUCUUCUGUGUGUUGCAAAUAAAUCUCAAGGUUGAAGAUGACACGUUUUUUGAGAAGAAAUGGUCUUUUGUCUUCUUGCUCUUUAAAAGCCCAUCAGUAUCAGGUAUCCAUUUAUUUUAUAGAAAAAAAAAUUCAUAUAUAACUACGAAUUUUACUAGUUACCAAUUACAUUUUUAAUUCCCUAAAAAAAAUACAUUUUUAAUAAUUUUAUAAAAUGCAACAUAAAAAUAACUAAAAAUGGAAAUGAAAGUUGUAGACAAAAAUAAACGAAAUAUAGUGUUGAAUGCACACAUAUAUGAAAAUCCAUUUUGGUCAUUUACACACCCAAAAGUAAUUUUGACACCAAAUAUCCAAACAAAAUCUUUCAUACAAAUAACUUCAAUUGUGAAGGUAACCAAACAUAAACCACUUUACAUUAAACUCACUUUUAACUAUAAUCAAUUUUGUAAAAUCAGUUCAAACAAAAUCAAUUUUCUCCACAGCAAAAUCAAACACACACUAUAUGAAUUAAUAGCAAGGUAAUAAGAAAAGGAAUAAACAAAAUAUAAAAAAAAACUACAACAUGAGAAAUGGUACUCCGUGUGUACUGACGUGAGUGGUUUAUGGUUAUAUUUCUUUUACUAGAAGUGGGUAGUUACGUUUUUUUUAAAGAAAAUGUGGGUAGUUACAUAUAAACGUGGGUAAUUUUUUCUAUUAAAAAUUAAAUAAAAUAAAAUUAAUAAGGGUAAAAUUGAAAUAAAAUAUAAAAAGCUAUAAUCUUUAAGCUCAAAAGCUACUUGAAUUAACUUCUCAUAAAAAGCUAUAAGCUGGUGAGAAAAACUUAUUAUCAAACACGUCAUAUUUUGAUCCAACAAACUUAUAAACUAAUUCAACAAAUUAUAAACUAGCUUCUCGAGGUUACCAAACAUAACCUAACUGUGUCAAUAUUAAUAAGUUAUUUUCAAACACACUCUAAUGAUGUAGAUAAGAGUUGUUGCAUUAAAGUAGCUAAAUAUUUGACAAAAGUGCAUUCAUUUUAAGGAUCGUUGUUACUUGGUGGAUAAAGCAAAAAAUAUGACAAUUCAUUCAACAAUUUAAAAUAUUUGGACUACUUAGCAUCAUAUUAAUAACGAUGUGUCCUAAUCCAAUUAUCAUGGGUCCUAACCCUAUUAUCAUAGAUUAUAAAAAGCAUUAGUAACGACGAAUAUUUUGAUGAAGUAAGAUACAAAACCAAAAGGCAAGAAAAAAAUAAAUUAAAGAAGAACGUGGCGAAAGAAGUCAACAUCAAUGUUGACUUCAAACUAGGAGUAAUUGCCUGUUUGACAUCUUUAUUUUUGAAUAACGUUUCCAGCUAGACAAAUAAUCGAGUUUUCAUUUUUUUAAAAUUUUUCAAAAUUAAUAAUUCAACAAAUUAUUGAAAGAAACUUUAAAUAAACGACAAUAAGUUUACAUCAAAUAUUUAUGACGACCAUCUCUCAACUUUGAGAUUUUCUUUUAUCAUGAUUCAUGAUGAGUAUCUAAAACUCAACUAUAAGAGUUUUUGCAGGAGCUCUAAUUAUAUAUUUUGUUAACAUACAUAAAUUUCUUUAUAAAUAUUUAGGUAAUAUGUCUGUAUAAAUUAUUUUAUAUAUUAUAUAUUUUUUAAUUGCUUAACUAUGUGAACGUAUUAGUAUUCACUAACUAGUCAAAAAAUGUAUCUUCACAUCUUAUCAAUCACAACAUAUGAAGUCAAUGGACCAGUCAAAAUCUCUUAUGUCGACUACUUAUAAUUUGGACAAGCUAACAUAACAAACAAAAAAGCAAAAUGCGAGUUUUGUUUUUCAAUUAUAUUGGAUGGAUAACUGCAAAUUUAAUGGGAAGGUUCAUAUUUUGGUUUGAUGCACACAAUCUCUUGGAUUUGAAUUGACAUAUUUAAGUUAAUCACACUUGCAAGGAGAACAACUAUAGUGCAGAUUGACUUAUCAAUUUUAAUUUUACUUUUGAUUCUUUAAAUUGUACUAUUGUGGAGACUCGUGCAAGUGUGUUUCAUAAGCAUUUGCCUCAAUAAAUUACUUGUAAUACUUAUGAUAUCUAUAAAUAUAGUUGGUUUUUAUUUUCAUUUUAGAAUAAUUUUUUUAAGGGUCUUGCUAGAGUAAAAUGACUGGUGAUGAAUUUGUUUGUACACCUUAAAUUUUUUCUAC